GGGGGUACAUUAAGCCAUAAGUGAAACUUGACUUAGUUAAAGCUAAGAGGGUCGGUAAAACUCGUGCCAGCCACCGCGGUUAUACGAGAGACCCAAGUUGUUAGACAUCGGCGUAAAGAGUGGUUAAGAUUUAUCCAGGACUAAAGCCGAACGCCCUCAGAGCCGUUAUACGCACCCGAAGGUAAGAAGCCCAAUCACGAAAGUGGCUUUAUACAAUCCGAAUCCACGAAAGCUAUGACACAAACUGGGAUUAGAUACCCCACUAUGCCUAGCCAUAAACAUUGAUAGUAAACUACGCCCACUAUCCGCCCGGGGACUACGAGCACCAGCUUGAAACCCAAAGGACUUGGCGGUGCUUUAGAUCCACCUAGAGGAGCCUGUUCUAGAACCGAUUACCCCCGUUCAACCUCACCUUUCCUUGUUUUCCCCGCCUAUAUACCACCGUCGUCAGCUUACCCUGUGAAGGACUUAUAGUAAGCAAGAUUGGCAUAGCCCAAAACGUCAGGUCGAGUUA
Molecule: ribosomal RNA, 514 nt
Filed under: Lutjanus madras (Indian snapper)
Lineage: Eukaryota; Metazoa; Chordata; Actinopteri; Lutjaniformes; Lutjanidae
Description: partial 12S ribosomal RNA
Rfam family: Bacterial small subunit ribosomal RNA
Source: RNAcentral